Molecule: long non-coding RNA, 1226 nt
Filed under: Parus major (Great Tit)
Lineage: Eukaryota; Metazoa; Chordata; Aves; Passeriformes; Paridae
Description: lncRNA (ENSPMJG00000018682.1)
Source: RNAcentral
GGUGGGGGGUUUUCGGCAGGUUUGUGGGUGCCGGCUGACCCCGGGGUGUCCUGGCUGGGCAGAGGGGAGGCUGUGUGCCCCGUGCUUGCCCCGGGGCUGUGUGCCCGGACAGUUACCGCCGUGUUUUGUCUCGGUUCCUUCCCUCCUUUGUUAUCCCCCGUCUGGUUUAUAUGCGAGUUCCCUUCCUCCGAUUGUCAGAAAUUUCUUUUUCACUGUGUGGGCAGGAGACAGAUUUUAACUGUCUCUAUUUUCUCCCUUUUUUUUUUUUUUAAUUUUUUUUUUAAAUUUCGUCUUAUCCCCCCUCCCCCUUUCCUUCCUUCCCUGCUCCUCUCGUCUCUCCCUCCCCUCUCCCUCCUUUUUUUUUUUCCCUCCCUUCCCCACGGUUCUUUUCCUCCCUCCCUUUUCCAUUACAAAUCAUGCCUCUGGAAUAACCCCCUGCCGGAUCCAUGUCCCUGGCCCCAGGUAAGCCAUGCCCAGCGGGAUGGUGGCCCUGGACCCUCCCAAACUCCUCGGGGACAUCCUUUUUCCCCCUCCCCUUCCCCCUCUCGCUGCUACCUGUUGCGGACGGUCGGGAGACGCCAGUUGGGGCUGUCUCCAUCCUCCUCCUCCUCCUUUCUCUGAGCGAUUCCCGGUGGACACCUCCUCCCCUCCCUUCUGUCUGUGCUGCUCUCCGGGAUGCGCGGGGCUCCGGGGAUGGAGCGCGGGGGAAGGAGCCGCCGGCAGCCCGCGGCCACAGAGUGAUGAGCCACACCAGCAGCAGCGAUGCUGGGACUCGGGACGUGCUCCAUGGGCGCCCCGGGGAGGGCGGCUGAGCUGGACGCCGCCUCGUCCCGCUGCAUCCUGGCCCUGCCCGAGGAGGAGACGUGGCGCCAGCACCGCCUGGGCCUCAUGCAGAACACCCAAUCCUGCAACCUGCUGGAGCCUGAGAGCCUGGCCCAGGCCCUGGUGUCCCGCGCCGCCUCCUUCGACGCCCUCUACGAUUCCCGCUGCCGCGAUGCCGACGAUGGCGGCGCCCUGGACCUGGGGCUGGGCCAGCUGGUGGCCGUGAGCCCGGACGUGAUCAAGCGCCGGCGGGGAGGGCUCAUCGAGCAGAGGGACAUUAUCAAGGCCCACGAGGCCCACAAGAUGCAGAGCACGCCCCAGGCGAGGAGGAAGGAGUGGGAGUAAGUACCGGAGAGCCCCCAGCCCAGGUGGGCAGCUGGGGGGAGUGGGAGCCUUCCCUGUCC